UUCUCCUAGGUUGAAAUUGAAAAAUCCGCUAAGUCGCUCAUAAUUACCAUUCAAUUCUAAGAGUCAAGAUCAUAUUUUCUAAAUUAUUUCGAAAUAAAUCUAAUUUAAACAUUAUUAUGUUUUAAGCUUAUCCAUUAUUCAUGCAACAUCCAAUUGAGUGCACAACGAUUCGGUUUUUUAGAAAAUGGGCUCGACAUGUGGGCCUCCGUAAGUGCGGCCAGGUCAAAUAUAGGAAGGGUGGCAACGUGAAACUUUUAAAAGCCAAAUCUUUUUGACAUCCAAAGUGUCUCCUUAAAGAUUUUUCCUAGACACCACAUCAAAUAAGAGGUGACCAUUAGUGAACCCCAGUCUAAUUUCAUUAUUUUUAUUAAUUAGGUAAUCUUUUUUAAAUAUUCUCCUAAAGAAUAUUCCUUUCUAAUUUAAAAUGCUCAAUCAACAUGAGCAAAUUUGAUCGACAUUAUCUAUUUUUGAUUUUCCUAAAAUCUUGUCAUGUGUUGGAUAUUUUUUAAAGGUUAAUUAAGAACGUUUCCUUAAUUUUAGUAAAUUAAAAACAUCUCUAAUACCAAACCUAAAAAUACACUUACGUAGGUCAGUGAACCACUAUGAUU
RNAcentral lists this long non-coding RNA (608 nucleotides) under Malus domestica (apple). RNAcentral describes it as "long non-coding RNA (MDOM_LNC019527)". The record is from RNAcentral. Lineage: Eukaryota; Viridiplantae; Streptophyta; Magnoliopsida; Rosales; Rosaceae.